GACAGAGCCUGGUCAGGCGAUUCGCAAGGCCGGUCACGGCUUGAAGGAUCUCAUUGGCUGCAGCGGGAGUAGCCGAUUGUUUGUUUACUUACCGAGCUCCUGCUGUUGCUGCUGUUUGGGGAACUUCGGGCCGAAGUUAUCCUACCCUACCAUGUAUGAGAGGGGUCGUGGAUCGAGUUCCCGCCGAUGAUUCCAGUCAGUGAGGCGUCGUCUGGUUAUUUGUUACCCUGGUGAGAUGGGUUUUGUUGUUUUGCACUGCUGAGUUGGAGUUGUCCCCUCCCACAAGCAACGCCAUCCCUGCACAGACACCGGUGAGAGAGGAAGGUAAAAAUACUUUGCUUCCUACUUGGUGGUAUAGUCUCGAAGGAACCCUGCGCUCCGCAGAUGUCCCGCAACGGAGGUUGGGAAAUUUCUAGACACACGCACGCACGCUCACACUCAACGCAAUCCCGGAUAGGCUCCUCGAAGCAUCGCCACCAAAUGCUUGGAAGCGUGACUCUGUCGGCCACUCUAUGCAACGCGGGUAACUCUUCCCCAGUAUUCCGCUCACUGUACUCAACUCUCUGUUUUUUUCGCUAAUGAAAACCCCACGCAUCAAGCUCCUUUUCUUCCUUUGCAUUCUUUCUAAAUUAAGCUAAAUCUGUACCUGAUUGUCGAAUACGUCCACAACUAAAAAGCUUACGUCUCUACAGUCCAAGAUGGAGUGGAUAUUGUGGAUUUUCCUGCAGUAACUUUGCUAAAGGAGGGAAACGAUGUGUAUAUACAGACCGGCAAAAUCCAUGACGCGUUGCUGCGGCUUUGGCAUGUCUGUAAAAUGUGUGGCAUGGACUGAAGGAAGUCUGCACCGUUAAGAAUGUCAUUUUUGCAAGACUGUUCAUGAGGACUGUGACUGACUUGGAGGCCAGGUUACCAGUGGGAUAGAAGAUAAUAUCUGGUGAUUCUGGGAUGCAACCCAAACACGACAACGCUCUCCCUCAAUAUCAAAAUCAUCAAAACUGUGGGGUCCUUAUCCCCCAGGUUUGAUUCUUGCUGAUUUGCUGCUGUGAGGUCUCCAGGUACUGAAUAUCAAAAUAUAAGAAAUUCAACACUGAAGUGUUGUAUUGGCGCAUGGUUAGUUGUUGUGGUUUUUAGAAGUAUGAUGAAUGUACUAAGUUUGGACCUUGUUUUGGUAACAGUUUUAAUAUAUUUGUCUAUAGAUAAAGCGGUUUGAAUAGUUUUUUAAGCAAUAUAUUUUGCUUAGCUGUGGUAAGGAUUAGAGUUAGUUUUUAAUGUGUGAGAUAGAUAUUUUUAAGAAGCAUGAGAAAAGAGAUAAUGAAUUAGAUUCCAUCUCCCUCCGUGUAACCUUUUGCACCAAGGUUUUUGGAUUGAGCUUUGGUUUGUUUGCAGCUGUUAAUUUUUAAUUUUUAAUUUUUAAUCUAUGCAAUUCAGUAGAUUUUAAGCA
This is a non-coding RNA of Physcomitrium patens, 1441 nucleotides long. Lineage: Eukaryota; Viridiplantae; Streptophyta; Bryopsida; Funariales; Funariaceae. The record is from RefSeq and is a predicted model, not a curated record.